UACGGGGGGAGCAAGCGUUAUCCGGAAUUAUUGGGCGUAAAGAGCUCGUAGGCGGUUUGUCGCGUCUGCCGUGAAAGUCCGGGGCUCAACUCCGGAUCUGCGGUGGGUACGGGCAGACUAGAGUGAUGUAGGGGAGACUGGAAUUCCUGGUGUAGCGGUGAAAUGCGCAGAUAUCAGGAGGAACACCGAUGGCGAAGGCAGGUCUCUGGGCAUUAACUGACGCUGAGGAGCGAAAGCAUGGGGAGCGAACAGG
RNAcentral lists this ribosomal RNA (253 nucleotides) under uncultured bacterium. RNAcentral describes it as "partial 16S ribosomal RNA". It matches the Rfam family "Bacterial small subunit ribosomal RNA", at positions 524 to 776 of the family's 1533-position model. The record is from RNAcentral.